Molecule: ribosomal RNA, 499 nt
Filed under: Vishniacozyma dimennae
Lineage: Eukaryota; Fungi; Basidiomycota; Tremellomycetes; Tremellales; Bulleribasidiaceae
Description: eukaryotic LSU rRNA
Rfam family: 5.8S ribosomal RNA (bases 131-284)
Source: RNAcentral
UCCGUAGGUGAACCUGCGGAAGGAUCAUUAUUGAAUUCGGCCUUUUGGCCUUAUACACAUAAUAUACACUGUGAACCGUGGCUUCGGCCCAAACUUGAAGUCUUGAAUGUAAUAUAUCAUAACAAAAUACAACUUUUAACAACGGAUCUCUUGGCUCUCGCAUCGAUGAAGAACGCAGCGAAAUGCGAUAAGUAAUGUGAAUUGCAGAAUUCAGUGAAUCAUCGAAUCUUUGAACGCACCUUGCGCCCUCUGGUAUUCCGGAGGGCAUGCCUGUUUGAGUGUCAUGAACACCUCACCCCCUCGGGUUUCCGAUCGGGUGGAUUUGGGUGCUGCCAGUUACAUGGCUCGCCUUAAAAGCAUUAGCGGUUGUUGACGUAAUAAGUUUCGUCUUGUCGACCGCUCCUAAUCUCCUUCGGGAUGUCUCUAGGGACACUUCAUGAUCUGACCUCAAAUCAGGUAGGACUACCCGCUGAACUUAAGCAUAUCAAUAAGCGGAGGA